GACUCAAUAUGAAUAAAAAUUAAUCCGAUUUAUUUUAUUCAAUUACAAAACUAUGCUACUAGAAAGGUACAUAUAUCGACCAAUUUAAUUUUUAGGACAUACAUCUAACAAUCUCUCAUUUGCACUAAAGUCAAUUGACCAUUAACCUAAGCAUCAUCUUCUCAAGAUGAGCUUCAGUCUUCUGAUGGCCCAACGACUU
RNAcentral lists this long non-coding RNA (199 nucleotides) under Elaeis guineensis (African oil palm). RNAcentral describes it as "long non-coding RNA (EGUI_LNC005605)". Lineage: Eukaryota; Viridiplantae; Streptophyta; Magnoliopsida; Arecales; Arecaceae. The record is from RNAcentral.